Microtus ochrogaster (prairie vole) is the source of this 682-nucleotide long non-coding RNA. RefSeq lists it as uncharacterized. The transcript has 3 exons. The record is from RefSeq and is a predicted model, not a curated record. Lineage: Eukaryota; Metazoa; Chordata; Mammalia; Rodentia; Cricetidae.
CCCAGGGAGGGGCUCUCCGGAGUGGACGUGGAGCUGGCCCUGGGGUCGCGGGGACUCAGCCAGCUGUCGCCUUCCUGCCGCGCUCUUAGCGCGUCCCGGUGUAGUGCUGGCUGCAGCCAAGCUGAGCCGGCGAGGAGGGCGGUGCUGGGUUUGAAGAUGCGCUGUGCCGGAGGCCCGCCUCCCCGCCGCGCCCGCCGCUUCAGCACCGCGGACAGCGGCCAGUCCCGCGCAGGAGCGGCCUCGCCCGGAGGCUACAGACACCGGCUGGACAAAGGCGAGCUCUCCUGGAGGAACGCGCGAGGGCGGCGAAACCGCAACUAGGCCUCUUAAAGCGCUUCGGCGUGGUCGGGAACCGGACCCGGCACCCAGGGCGUUAUCUGGGUCCAAUCAAGGCCGGAGGAGGGUGGCCCCUCGCGUGGGUCCAGCAUGGGAGGAGCCCAGAGAAGAAAAUUCCCGGAUGAGAUGGUGGUGUCCUUAUUCUGACUUGACUCCCAACACAGACCAGCAACGUGACCUUCAGCUUCCUUUCUCCUCUGGAAUAGAUGUGCUAAAACCAAGACAAUUCCCAGCCAGCUGUGCCAGCCUAGCCCUGCUGCCUCACUUCCUGUUGUGCUCUGAGCACCCACGGUUCCUCUUCUCCACCCUCUCUGUACUGGCUGGUUUUAUGUUAACUUGACACAAG